ACGUGAAACUAUCACGAGGCUAAAGCGGAUGUACAUACGUAGCCGAAAGGGGGGGCUCAUCCCCUCGAGCCUCCAGCGGUCGUAGUUUUCGUACCGUCGCACCGGAGCCCUUCCCCGUUAACGCGGGGAGUCCGGGCUCCGUCGGCGGACGUCGCUACGGCGGACUAGGAGGAUAGGGGGGUGGAUUUCUCUCCCCAGUAGGCGGUCGCGGCCGUUUGAGAGUUGUCUAAGGCCCGGGAGUUGGGAACCGUCCGGCGGCGCGCGAAAUAUUCGCCGUCGGCGGGGACUCUCCCUCGAUCCUGACGGACUUUCGGACGGUUGAAGUUGACGACACGGAGGAAAGCAAAUCCCCGGUCGUUCGCGGCCGGAAUGCGAUCGUUCAUCCGUCCCGUCUUGAAACACGGACCAAGGAGUCUAACAUGUACGCGAGUCAACGGGUUGGCUAAACCCCAAGGCGCAACGAAAGUGAAAAACUGAGAUUGAGAGAGAUAGAGCUUCCGCAACCUCCCACCUCUUCGGAGGGGGGAGGCCGGGAACUCUUUUUUUUUUCUAUCUCUAUUUGGGUCGAUCCGUGAUCCCUUAGUUGGACCGGCGCAGACCCGGGGCUCGCCGCUACCUCCUCGAGAUUCGUCUCGGGGCGGGCGGCGGGCACCUAGAGCGUACAUGCUAGUACCCGAAAGAUGGUGAUCUAUGCCUGGCCAGGAUGAAGCCAGAGGAAACUCUGGUGGAGGUCCGUAGCGAUUCUGACGUGCAAAUCGAUCGUCAGAGCUGGGUAUAGGGGCGAAAGACCAAUCGAACCAUCUAGUAGCU
Molecule: ribosomal RNA, 810 nt
Filed under: Proasellus hercegovinensis
Lineage: Eukaryota; Metazoa; Arthropoda; Malacostraca; Isopoda; Asellidae
Description: eukaryotic LSU rRNA
Rfam family: Eukaryotic large subunit ribosomal RNA
Source: RNAcentral